UUAGAGUUUGAUCCUGGCUCAGGACGAACGCUGGCGGCAUGCCUAACACAUGCAAGUCGAACGGAAGUAGCAAUACUUUAGUGGCGAACGGGUGAGUAACACGUGAGCAACCUGCCUCAUACACUGGGAUAACAGUUGGAAACGACUGCUAAUACCGGAUAAGACCACACUGUGGCAUCACAGAGGGGUCAAAGUGACUUAGCGGUAUGAGAUGGGCUCGCGUCCAAUUAGCUAGUUGGUGGGGUAACGGCCCACCAAGGCGACGAUUGGUAGCCGACUUGAGAGAGUGAUCGGCCACACUGGAACUGAGACACGGUCCAGACUCCUACGGGAGGCAGCAGUGGGGAAUAUUGGGCAAUGGAGGAAACUCUUACCCAGCAAUGCCGCGUGAGUGAUGAAGGUCUUUGGAUUGUAAAGCUCUGUUGUAUGGGAAGAUAAUGACGGUACCAUACGAGGAAGCCCCGGCAAACUACGUGCCAGCAGCCGCGGUAAUACGUAGGGGGCAAGCGUUGUCCGGAAUUACUGGGCGUAAAGCGCACGCAGGCGGAAUUGUAAGUCCGUUGUAAAAUUCAGAGGCUCAACCUCUGUCUGUCGGCGGAUACUGCAAAUCUAGAGUAUGUGAGAGGGAAGUGGAAUUCCUGGUGUAGCGGUGAAAUGCGUAGAUAUCAGGAGGAACUCCGGUGGCGAAGGCGACUUCCUGGCACAAGACUGACGCUCAUGUGCGAAAGCUAGGGUAGCGAACGGGAUUAGAUACCCCGGUAGUCCACACUGUAAACGAUGAGUGCUAAGUAUCGGAGGAUUCGGUGCUUAAGCUAACGCAGUAAGCACUCCGCCUGGGGGGUACGGUCGCAAGACUGAAACUCAAAGGAAUUGACGGGGACUCGCACAAGCGGUGGAGUAUGUGGUUUAAUUCGAAGCAACGCGAAGAACCUUACCAGGGCUUGACAUGCAGGUGAAUAAUGUAGAGAUACAUUAGUCCUUCGGGACACCUGUGCAGGUGGUGCAUGGUUGUCGUCAGCUCGUGUCGUGAGAUGUUGGGUUAAGUCCCGCAACGAGCGCAACCCCUGUUGCUAGUUGCCAUCAUUAAGUUGGGCACUCUAGCGAGACUGCCGGUGACAAAUCGGAGGAAGGUGGGGAGGACGUCAAAUCAUCAUGCCCCUUAUGUCCUGGGCUACACACGUACUACAAUGGCCGGCACAGCGGGAAGCGAGUCAGUGAUGGCGAGCGGAUCCCUCAAAGCCGGUCCCAGUUCGGAUUGAAGUCUGCAACUCGACUUCAUGAAGCAGGAAUCGCUAGUAAUCGCAGAUCAGCCAAGCUGCGGUGAAUACGUUCCCGGGCCUUGUACUCACCGCCCG
RNAcentral lists this ribosomal RNA (1355 nucleotides) under uncultured bacterium. Its description in RNAcentral is "16S ribosomal RNA". It matches the Rfam family "Bacterial small subunit ribosomal RNA". The record is from RNAcentral.